AAAAGAUAACUAUGAAUACCAGCUCUCCAGGAAAUGCAGUUAUCACCAAUUAAGUCCAUUACUGAGUCAUCAACAGCUAGGAAAAUGUUUAUUCCCAAAUCAUUGAAAGAGCAGGUCGGACAGGGAGCUGGUCAAAUAUGAAAUAAAAUUGCCCUCCUUGCUUCUGUGAUGACUGAGCCAUCCAGGCAUAAUGCUAUUAUGACAGCUGGGAAUCAUUUGAAAAUGAGCUUCACUUCACUUGGCAUGUCAGAUGGCACCUUCUACCUCCUCGCAGGUAUACCCCGUUCAACAGAUCCUCCCAGACACAGGAGAACUCAACGUAGACUCCGUUUAUCAUGGCUGCUACCUAAUAAGAAACUGCUUUCCUGAAAAAUAUUUAUCAUGAAUUCAGCAGCUGUUAGGUGAAGCUGCAAAAAUCGACUUCUCUCCAUGUUGCCAAAUUCCUGGCUUUGUAGACGCAGAAUAAUACGUAGGGUGUAAUACCAUUUGUGCCAAAAGGUGCAGAGAGGGAAGAAUGCAUGCAUAUUCGCAUGUGUGAAUGGAAGAACGGACAAGAAACUUAGAAUAUUAGUUUACCUUGGGGACGUGAACUGGAAGGCUGGGGAACAGGGGUUCAGAUGGAGACUUCAUGGUAUAUCCUUUCUACUUUCCUAAUUUUGAAACUUGUGAAUAUGUUGACAAUUGAAAAAUUAAAUUUAAAUGAUUCCCAGCAUUGUGACUGUCUGUCACCUUGCUUAUAAUUGCUGAUGAUAUGAGGUCUUUGAUUUUACCAUCACCACUCAUCUCCUUGAUGGUCAUUUUUUGG
RNAcentral lists this long non-coding RNA (805 nucleotides) under Equus caballus (horse). RNAcentral describes it as "lncRNA (ENSECAG00000056143.1)". The record is from RNAcentral. Lineage: Eukaryota; Metazoa; Chordata; Mammalia; Perissodactyla; Equidae.